RNAcentral lists this small RNA (722 nucleotides) under Pan troglodytes (chimpanzee). Its description in RNAcentral is "processed transcript". Lineage: Eukaryota; Metazoa; Chordata; Mammalia; Primates; Hominidae. The record is from RNAcentral.
CACGCUUUGGCUGUCUGGACUUUUAAGUUUUUCCGCUUUUUCAGGAACGCGACCGGCAGCCUCGGGCAGGGGAGACAGGACUGUAUGUCAGAGAAGAGACGGCGCUUGGACGCCAGGAAUCCUCUGAAGCAGGAGACUGCCCUAUCCAGGUUACCCUUCCCGAGGGGAAACCAGGGUCUCCUUCAGAAAGCUGAGGCAGGCCGGGCGCGGUGGCUCACGCCUGUAAUCCCAGCACUUUGGAAGACCGAGGCGGGCGGAUCACCGGAGGUCAGGAACCCCGUCUACUAAAAAUACAAAAAUUAGCCAGGCGUGUUGGCGGGCACCUGUAUUCCCAGCUACUUGGGAGGCUGAGGCAGGAGAAUUGCUUGAACCCGGGAUGCGGAGGUUGCAGUGAGCCGAGAUAGCGCCACUGCACCCCAGCCUGGGCGACAGUGAGACUCCGUCUCGAAAAAAAAAACAAAAAAAACCCCUGCUUCUGGAGCAGAAGAUGACUCAAGACCGGCCUCUGCUUGCCGUGCAGGAGGCGCUGAAGAAGUGCUUCCCCGUGGUGGAGGAGCAGCAGGGCCUGUGGCAGAGUGCCCUGCGGGACUGCCAGCCCCUCCUGUCCUCCCUCAGCAACCUGGCGGAGCAGCUGCAGGCUGCACAGAACCUGCGGUUUGAGGAUGUGCCGGCGCUUCGGGCCUUCCCAGACUUAAAAGAGCGGCUGAGGCGUAAGCAGCUGG